RNAcentral lists this RNase P RNA (358 nucleotides) under Candidatus Babelota bacterium. RNAcentral's name for it is "RNase P RNA component class A". It matches the Rfam family "Bacterial RNase P class A". Rfam says of the family: Ribonuclease P (RNase P) is a ubiquitous endoribonuclease, found in archaea, bacteria and eukarya as well as chloroplasts and mitochondria. Its best characterised activity is the generation of mature 5'-ends of tRNAs by cleaving the 5'-leader elements of precursor-tRNAs. The record is from RNAcentral.
GCGGUACACAAGGCAAUCGCUUGUAGUACUUAAAACAAUACAAGAGGAAAGUCCGGACUCCUAGCGAACAUGGUACCUGGGAAGAUAAUCCAACCCAUGGAGAGCGCAAGCUCAUGGAAAGUGCCACAGAAAAUAACCGCCGUUAUUUUACUAUAACGGUAAGGGUGAAAAUGUGCGGUAAGAGCGCACAAACUAGUAUAGCAAUGUCCUAGUUGGGUAAACCCUGCCAGGAGCAAGACAAAGCAGCAUGUAUUGAUCGUUCGCUUCAUUAAAGCAUGCGGGUAUGUCGCAUAGAUAAAUGAUUGCCACAUUAUAUCAUUAGAUAAUGACAGAAUCCGGCUUAUUGUGUACCGUUUCA